Molecule: transfer RNA, 85 nt
Filed under: Magnetococcales bacterium
Lineage: Bacteria; Pseudomonadati; Pseudomonadota; Magnetococcia; Magnetococcales
Description: tRNA-Tyr
Rfam family: tRNA
About the family: Transfer RNA (tRNA) molecules are approximately 80 nucleotides in length. Their secondary structure includes four short double-helical elements and three loops (D, anti-codon, and T loops).
Source: RNAcentral
GGAGGGGUUCCCAAGUGGCCAAAGGGAGCGGACUGUAAAUUCGCCGGCUCAGCCUUCGGAGGUUCGAAUCCUCCUCCCUCCACCA